CAGCAGCCGCGGUAAUACGAAGGGGGCUAGCGUUGUUCGGAAUUACUGGGCGUAAAGCGCACGUAGGCGGAUCGAUCAGUCAGGGGUGAAAUCCCAGGGCUCAACCCUGGAACUGCCUUUGAUACUGUCGAUCUGGAGUAUGGAAGAGGUGAGUGGAAUUCCGAGUGUAGAGGUGAAAUUCGUAGAUAUUCGGAGGAACACCAGUGGCGAAGGCGACUCACUGGUCCAUUACUGACGCUGAGGUGCGAAAGCGUGGGGAGCAAACAGGAUUAGAUACCCCCGUAGUCCCUGUCUCUUAUAC
RNAcentral lists this ribosomal RNA (301 nucleotides) under uncultured bacterium. RNAcentral describes it as "partial 16S ribosomal RNA". It matches the Rfam family "Bacterial small subunit ribosomal RNA", at positions 509 to 807 of the family's 1533-position model. The record is from RNAcentral.